AUUUUCUUAAUAUAAUUAGUAUAGGUGACUUCCAAUCAUCUAGUCUUGGUUAAAACCCGAGAGAAAAUA
Molecule: transfer RNA, 69 nt
Filed under: Meristogenys whiteheadi (Whitehead's Borneo frog)
Lineage: Eukaryota; Metazoa; Chordata; Amphibia; Anura; Ranidae
Description: tRNA-Gly
Rfam family: tRNA
About the family: Transfer RNA (tRNA) molecules are approximately 80 nucleotides in length. Their secondary structure includes four short double-helical elements and three loops (D, anti-codon, and T loops). Further hydrogen bonds mediate the characteristic L-shaped molecular structure. tRNAs have two regions of fundamental functional importance: the anti-codon, which is responsible for specific mRNA codon recognition, and the 3' end, to which the tRNAs corresponding amino acid is attached (by aminoacyl-tRNA synthetases). tRNAs cope with the degeneracy of the genetic code in two manners: having more than one tRNA (with a specific anti-codon) for a particular amino acid; and 'wobble' base-pairing, i.e. permitting non-standard base-pairing at the 3rd anti-codon position.
Source: RNAcentral